Molecule: long non-coding RNA, 234 nt
Filed under: Elaeis guineensis (African oil palm)
Lineage: Eukaryota; Viridiplantae; Streptophyta; Magnoliopsida; Arecales; Arecaceae
Description: long non-coding RNA (EGUI_LNC074184)
Source: RNAcentral
GACUUGCAAGGAGUUUAGGAGACUAAAUAAAGUAGAGAGGAAAGGAUUCUAGUGGAAAAGCCAAGAUUUUGGAGCAGUGAAGCGUCAAUUUGGAGAAGAGAGAUGGAAUCUAGGGCAAGCUCAAACCGCCCAAAUGAGGAAGAAAGAGGAGAGAAAGUUGGUUCCUAAAUGGAUGAUUUGAAGGGUGAAAAUCGGUGGGAAGAGAGAUUUGAGAGAAAUCUUUAGUUUGAGGGA